UGAGGAAUAUUGGACAAUGGGCGCAAGCCUGAUCCAGCCAUGCCGCGUGAGUGAUGAAGGCCCUAGGGUUGUAAAGCUCUUUCAGUAGGGAAGAUAAUGACGGUACCUACAGAAGAAGCCCCGGCUAACUUCGUGCCAGCAGCCGCGGUAAUACGAAGGGGGCUAGCGUUGUUCGGAAUCACUGGGCGUAAAGCGCGCGUAGGCGGACUUUUAAGUCAGGGGUGAAAUCCCGAGGCUCAACCUCGGAACUGCCUUUGAUACUGGAAGUCUCGAGUCCGGAAGAGGUGAGUGGAAUUCCUAGUGUAGAGGUGAAAUUCGUAGAUAUUAGGAAGAACACCAGUGGCGAAGGCGGCUCACUGGUCCGGUACUGACGCUGAGGUGCGAAAGCGUGGGGAGCAAACAGGAUUAGAUACCCCCGUAGUCC
Molecule: ribosomal RNA, 424 nt
Filed under: uncultured prokaryote
Description: bacterial SSU rRNA
Rfam family: Bacterial small subunit ribosomal RNA
Source: RNAcentral